GAACCUUACCAAGGCUUGACACGCAGGGAAAUCCGGCAGAGAUGUCGGGUCCGCAAGGGUCCUGCACAGGUGGUGCAUGGUUGUCGUCAGCUCGUGUCGUGAGAUGUUGGGUUAAGUCCCGCAACGAGCGCAACCCUCGUUCCAUGUUGCCAGCGGGUAAUGCCGGGGACUCAUGGGAGACCGCCGGGGUCAACUCGGAGGAAGGUGGGGAUGACGUCAAAUCAUCAUGCCCCUUAUGUCUUGGGCUGCACACAUGCUACAAUGGCCGGUACAAAGGGCUGCGAAACCGUGAGGUGGAGCGAAUCCCACAAAGCCGGUCUCAGUUCGGAUCGGGGUCUGCAACUCGACCCCGUGAAGUCGGAGUCGCUAGUAAUCGCAGAUCAGCAACGCUGCGGUGAAUACGUUCCCGGGCCUUGUCACACCGA
RNAcentral lists this ribosomal RNA (425 nucleotides) under uncultured soil bacterium. RNAcentral's name for it is "bacterial SSU rRNA". It matches the Rfam family "Bacterial small subunit ribosomal RNA", at positions 966 to 1393 of the family's 1533-position model. The record is from RNAcentral.